This 1066-nucleotide long non-coding RNA is filed under the name Homo sapiens (human). RNAcentral's name for it is "uncharacterized LOC339260, transcript variant 10 (LOC339260)". The record is from RNAcentral. Lineage: Eukaryota; Metazoa; Chordata; Mammalia; Primates; Hominidae.
AGAGAAGGGUGUCCCAGAUGUAGGCAAAGCGUCCUCCAUGUGUUCCUGGAGGACCGUCCCAAGUCCUUCUCCAUUCUCCCAACCUCUUGGGCCUGGAAGUCAGACAAGUACCGGUGAUUGCCGGUUUCUUGUCUGAUUUUUGCACUUCUCUGGCAAGCUGCCCCCUCUGAAGAGUUGACUAUUUGGGAGUUACUCACUGAUGGUUCAGCCACUUCCAGAACCUACCCCAAGAGCAAGACUUGAAACCAACUCGCACCCUCAAAGCUCCGGAAGCCAUUCAGUGUUUCCAUCUUGGCUGAGUGAGUUCUUCACUGAAACUCAAUUUGACUUUGACAGUCAUCUAAUGAGAACUCAAAAGUCAUUCUUGGUUCAGCCACAGUCAAAGAACUUGCAGAGCAUUCUCUGACGAGGUCCUCAAGGACAACUGAGAGAAGGUCCCAUUCCAGGUCUUGCCCAAGUCUUUCUGAUUGGUGGGACUUAAAUCACACCCAAAAUUCCAGCUGCAGGAGAGCUCUGAGAUUUCAUCUUUCCAACCUCUGUGUGCUACGUGGGGGUUGGAGCACUUGCUGACAAGCCUUGCAACCACCAUUGACAGGAUGUCCUCCACCUUUUCAAUCUGAUUUGCUCUUUGCCAUGCAGACCUGUGGAUGAAGAGCCAGAGUCCUCCAAGGUGAAGCUGGACUGAAUAUUUCUGUCCAUAAGACUAUUAGAAUCCCCCAAAGUGGGAUACCAGUGAGGACCUCACCAGCAGCUGCUGUCUCUCCAAUGCAGGUAGAUGAGCCUCAGAAAUAACCGCUGCUUGUGGUUUGCUGUGUAUUCCUCUAGAUGUUUUUCUUUACACAUAUUAGUGAGUGUGGAGAGAGAGUGUGUAUGUGUUCUGUAAAUUUGAUUACACUGCGCAUUUAUUCCGAAAUCCAUUUCACUUUACCGUUGGAACGUAAGCUCUGUGAGGGCAGAGACUUUUGUUUAUUGCACUUGCUGUUAGAGCUCUUGUCUGUAACAGUGGCUGGCACAUGGUCACAUCAUAGUAGAAGCUCAAUAAAUAUUUGUUGAAUGAAUGAAAAAA